RNAcentral lists this ribosomal RNA (468 nucleotides) under uncultured bacterium. Its description in RNAcentral is "partial 16S ribosomal RNA". It matches the Rfam family "Bacterial small subunit ribosomal RNA", at positions 28 to 507 of the family's 1533-position model. The record is from RNAcentral.
GACGAACGCUGGCGGCGUGCUUAACACAUGCAAGUCGAACGGAAAGGCCCUGCUUUUGUGGGGUGCUCGAGUGGCGAACGGGUGAGUAACACGUGAGUAACCUGCCCUUGACUUUGGGAUAACUUCAGGAAACUGGGGCUAAUACCGGAUAGGAGCUCCUGCUGCAUGGUGGGGGUUGGAAAGUUUCGGCGGUUGGGGAUGGACUCGCGGCUUAUCAGCUUGUUGGUGGGGUAGUGGCUUACCGAGGCUUUGACGGGUAGCCGGCCUGAGAGGGUGACCGGCCACAUUGGGACUGAGAUACGGCCCAGACUCCUACGGGAGGCAGCAGUGGGGAAUAUUGCACAAUGGGCGGAAGCCUGAUGCAGCAACGCCGCGUGCGGGAUGACGGCCUUCGGGUUGUAAACCGCUUUCGCCUGUGACGAAGCGUGAGUGACGGUAAUGGGUAAAGAAGCACCGGCUAACUAGGUG